GGAACGAACGCUGGCGGCAUGCCUAAUACAUGCAAGUCGAACGAACACUUCGGUGUUAGUGGCGCACGGGUGCGUAACGCGUGGGAAUCUGCCCUUGGGUUCGGAAUAACAGUUGGAAACGACUGCUAAUACCGGAUGAUAUCGAAAGAUCAAAGAUUUAUCGCCCAGGGAUGAGCCCGCGUAGGAUUAGCUAGUUGGUGAGGUAAAGGCUCACCAAGGCGACGAUCCUUAGCUGGUCUGAGAGGAUGAUCAGCCACACUGGGACUGAGACACGGCCCAGACUCCUACGGGAGGCAGCAGUAGGGAAUAUUGGACAAUGGGCGCAAGCCUGAUCCAGCAAUGCCGCGUGAGUGA
RNAcentral lists this ribosomal RNA (354 nucleotides) under uncultured soil bacterium. RNAcentral describes it as "bacterial SSU rRNA". It matches the Rfam family "Bacterial small subunit ribosomal RNA", at positions 27 to 408 of the family's 1533-position model. The record is from RNAcentral.